Molecule: ribosomal RNA, 460 nt
Filed under: uncultured bacterium
Lineage: Bacteria
Description: partial 16S ribosomal RNA
Rfam family: Bacterial small subunit ribosomal RNA
Source: RNAcentral
CCUACGGGAGGCAGCAGUGAGGAAUAUUGGUCAAUGGACGAGAGUCUGAACCAGCCAAGUAGCGUGAAGGAUGACUGCCCUAUGGGUUGUAAACUUCGUUUAUAAAGGAAUAAAACGAGGCACGUGUGCCUUUUUGCAUGUACUUUAUGAAUAAGGAUCGGCUAACUCCGUGCCAGAAGCCGCGGUAAUACGGAGGAUCCGAGCGUUAUACGGAUGUCUAGGGUUUAAAGGGGGCGGAGAUGGGUUGUUAAGUCAGUUGUGAAAGUUUGCGGCUGAACCGUAUAAUUGCAAUUUAUACUGGCAGUCUUGAGUGCAGUUGAGGUAGGCGGAAUUCGUGGUGUAGCGGUGAAAUGCUUAGAUAUCACGAAGAACCCCGCUUGCGAAGGCAGCUGACUAAACUGUGACUGACAUUGAUGCUCGAAAGUGUGGGUAUCAAACAGGAUUAGAUACCCCUGUAGUC